GGAAUAUUGGACAAUGGGCGCAAGCCUGAUCCAGCCAUGCCGCGUGUGUGAAGAAGGCCUUCGGGUUGUAAAGCACUUUCAGCAGGGAGGAAUUGCAGUUGGUUAAUAGCUGAUUGUUUGACGUUACCUGCAGAAGAAGCACCGGCUAACCCCGUGCCAGCAGCCGCGGUAAUACGGAGGGUGCAAGCGUUAAUCGGAAUCACUGGGCGUAAAGCGCGCGUAGGCGGGGCUUUAAGUCAGCUGUGAAAGCCCAGGGCUUAACCUUGGAAUUGCAGUUGAUACUGGAGCUCUGGAGUACAGUAGAGGAAGGUGGAAUUUCAGGUGUAGCGGUGAAAUGCGUAGAGAUCUGAAGGAACAUCAGUGGCGAAGGCGGCCUUCUGGACUGAUACUGACGCUGAGGUGCGAAAGCGUGGGGAGCA
RNAcentral lists this ribosomal RNA (419 nucleotides) under uncultured bacterium. RNAcentral's name for it is "bacterial SSU rRNA". It matches the Rfam family "Bacterial small subunit ribosomal RNA", at positions 358 to 770 of the family's 1533-position model. The record is from RNAcentral.